This 207-nucleotide ribosomal RNA is filed under the name uncultured bacterium. Its description in RNAcentral is "partial 16S ribosomal RNA". It matches the Rfam family "Bacterial small subunit ribosomal RNA", at positions 568 to 774 of the family's 1533-position model. The record is from RNAcentral.
UGUGUAGGCGGUUGUUUAAGUUUGGUGUGAAAUCUCCCGGCUCAACUGGGAGGGUGCGCCGAAUACUGAGCGACUAGAGUGCGGGAGAGGAAAGUGGAAUUCCUGGUGUAGCGGUGAAAUGCGUAGAUAUCAGGAGGAACACCGGUGGUGUAGACGGCUUCCUGGACCGUAACUGACGCUGAGACACGAAAGCGUGGGUAGCAAACA